GCCCGGUUAGCUCAGUCGGUAGAGCAUCAGACUUUUAAUCUGAGGGUCGUGGGUUCGAGCCCCACAUUGGGCG
This is a transfer RNA of Conidiobolus coronatus NRRL 28638, 73 nucleotides long. It matches the Rfam family "tRNA". Rfam says of the family: Transfer RNA (tRNA) molecules are approximately 80 nucleotides in length. Lineage: Eukaryota; Fungi; Entomophthoromycota; Entomophthoromycetes; Entomophthorales; Conidiobolaceae. The record is from Rfam.